RNAcentral lists this microRNA (22 nucleotides) under Ascaris suum (pig roundworm). RNAcentral describes it as "asu-miR-184-3p". Its record names the gene asu-miR-184-3p. The record is from miRBase by way of RNAcentral. Lineage: Eukaryota; Metazoa; Nematoda; Chromadorea; Rhabditida; Ascarididae.
UGGACGGAAGACUGAUAAGAGC